RNAcentral lists this ribosomal RNA (484 nucleotides) under Alternaria alternata. RNAcentral's name for it is "eukaryotic LSU rRNA". The stretch from base 153 to 306 matches the Rfam family "5.8S ribosomal RNA". The record is from RNAcentral. Lineage: Eukaryota; Fungi; Ascomycota; Dothideomycetes; Pleosporales; Pleosporaceae.
GCGGGCUGGAACCUCUCGGGGUUACAGCCUUGCUGAAUUAUUCACCCUUGUCUUUUGCGUACUUCUUGUUUCCUUGGUGGGUUCGCCCACCACUAGGACAAACAUAAACCUUUUGUAAUUGCAAUCAGCGUCAGUAACAAAUUAAUAAUUACAACUUUCAACAACGGAUCUCUUGGUUCUGGCAUCGAUGAAGAACGCAGCGAAAUGCGAUAAGUAGUGUGAAUUGCAGAAUUCAGUGAAUCAUCGAAUCUUUGAACGCACAUUGCGCCCUUUGGUAUUCCAAAGGGCAUGCCUGUUCGAGCGUCAUUUGUACCCUCAAGCUUUGCUUGGUGUUGGGCGUCUUGUCUCUAGCUUUGCUGGAGACUCGCCUUAAAGUAAUUGGCAGCCGGCCUACUGGUUUCGGAGCGCAGCACAAGUCGCACUCUCUAUCAGCAAAGGUCUAGCAUCCAUUAAGCCUUUUUUUCAACUUUUGACCUCGGAUCAG